This 253-nucleotide ribosomal RNA is filed under the name uncultured bacterium. Its description in RNAcentral is "partial 16S ribosomal RNA". It matches the Rfam family "Bacterial small subunit ribosomal RNA", at positions 524 to 776 of the family's 1533-position model. The record is from RNAcentral.
UACGAAGGGGGCGAGCGUUGUUCGGAAUCACUGGGCGUAAAGCGUGCGUAGGCUGUCUAGCAAGUUGGACGUGAAAUCCCGAGGCUUAACCUCGGAAUUGCUUUCAAAACUGCUAGACUCGAAUUCGGGAGAGGAUAGCGGAAUUCCCAGUGUAGUAGUGAAAUACGUAGAUAUUGGGAGGAACACCAGUGGCGCAAGCGGCUAUCUGGACCGACAUUGACGCUGAGGCACGAAAGCGUGGGGAUCAAACAGG